GUAUAUAGAUGCGUUAUACGCGAUGUCAUUCUACACAUACUACAGAGUUUAUGAUAAACAUAGAGCGCAGGCCUGACGGCCGCAACCCUACAAAUGAUGCACAGGGGUAUGAAGGUUGGAUUUUUGAACGAGGCGUGCACAAUAUCCCGCUAGGGACCAGCAAACAACCCCUUCAAAUAUUCAAUAAUGAUCCUUCCGCAGGUUCACCUACGGAAA
RNAcentral lists this unclassified non-coding RNA (216 nucleotides) under uncultured fungus. RNAcentral describes it as "sequence contains ITS1". The record is from RNAcentral. Lineage: Eukaryota; Fungi.